Molecule: ribosomal RNA, 216 nt
Filed under: Glomeromycotina sp.
Lineage: Eukaryota; Fungi; Glomeromycota
Description: partial small subunit ribosomal RNA
Rfam family: Eukaryotic small subunit ribosomal RNA (bases 75-216)
Source: RNAcentral
GGGUCAGUAGGUUGGUCGUGCCACCGGUACGUACUGGUCUCACUGAUUCCUCCUUCCUGAAGAACCGUAACGCCAUUAAUUUGGUGUUGCGGGGAAACAGGACUGUUACUUUGAAAAAAUUAGAGUGUUUAAAGCAAGCUAACGCCUGAAUACAUUAGCAUGGAAUAAUGAAAUAGGACGAUCGAUCCUAUUUUGUUGGUUUCUAGGAUUGACGUA